UCCAAGGUAGCUCAACGGUGGAGCACUCGGCUGUUAACCGAUAGGUUGUGGGUUCGAUUCCCACCCUUGGAGCCA
This 75-nucleotide transfer RNA is filed under the name Clostridioides sp. Its description in RNAcentral is "tRNA-Asn". It matches the Rfam family "tRNA". Rfam says of the family: Transfer RNA (tRNA) molecules are approximately 80 nucleotides in length. Their secondary structure includes four short double-helical elements and three loops (D, anti-codon, and T loops). Further hydrogen bonds mediate the characteristic L-shaped molecular structure. tRNAs have two regions of fundamental functional importance: the anti-codon, which is responsible for specific mRNA codon recognition, and the 3' end, to which the tRNAs corresponding amino acid is attached (by aminoacyl-tRNA synthetases). tRNAs cope with the degeneracy of the genetic code in two manners: having more than one tRNA (with a specific anti-codon) for a particular amino acid; and 'wobble' base-pairing, i.e. permitting non-standard base-pairing at the 3rd anti-codon position. Lineage: Bacteria; Bacillati; Bacillota; Clostridia; Peptostreptococcales; Peptostreptococcaceae. The record is from RNAcentral.